This 395-nucleotide unclassified non-coding RNA is filed under the name soil metagenome. RNAcentral describes it as "partial contains 5.8S ribosomal RNA, internal transcribed spacer 2, and large subunit ribosomal RNA". The stretch from base 1 to 120 matches the Rfam family "5.8S ribosomal RNA", at positions 35 to 154 of the family's 154-position model. The record is from RNAcentral.
GAUGAAGAACGUAGCGAAAUGCGAUAAGUAAUGUGAAUUGCAGAAUUCAGUGAAUCAUCGAAUCUUUGAACGCACCUUGCGCCUUUUGGUAUUCCGAAAGGCACACCUGUUUGAGCGUCAUGAAUACCUCAAUCUCCAUCUUUUCUUCGGAUUGAUGGGUGACUUGGAUGUUGAGCCCUGCUGGUAUGCUAUAUCAGCUGGCUUUAAACUUAUUAGCCGGCUCUGUACUGGAUCGGUUUGACUCGACGUGAUAAUAUUAUCGUUGAGGAUGCAUGUCUCAUGCAGCCGGGAAGUAUCAAAGCAGCUUCUAGCUUGCCUUUAGUGCACUUUUACAUUUUAGACCUCAGAUCAGGUGGGACUACCCGCUGAACUUAAGCAUAUCAAUAAGCGGAGGA